CCUACGGGUGGCAGCAGUGAGGAAUAUUGGUCAAUGGCCGGGAGGCUGAACCAGCCAAGUCGCGUGAGGGAAGACGGCCCUACGGGUUGUAAACCUCUUUUGUCAGGGAGCAAGGUGCAGGUCGGGACCUGCUGUGAGAGUACCUGAAGAAAAAGCAUCGGCUAACUCCGUGCCAGCAGCCGCGGUAAUACGGAGGAUGCGAGCGUUAUCGGGAUUUAUUGGGGUUAAAGGGUGCGCAGGCGGAGGCACAAGUCAGCGGUAAAAUCGCGGGGCUCAACCCCGCUCCGCCGUUGAAACUGUGUGCCUUGAGUGCGCGAAGGGUAGGUGGAAUGCGUGGUGUAGCGGUGAAAUGCAUAGAUAUCACGCAGAACUCCGCUCGCGAAGGCAGCCUACCGGCGCGCAACUGACGCUCAUGCACGAAAGCGUGGGUAUCGAACAGGAUUAGAUACCCGGGUAGUC
RNAcentral lists this ribosomal RNA (459 nucleotides) under uncultured bacterium. Its description in RNAcentral is "partial 16S ribosomal RNA". It matches the Rfam family "Bacterial small subunit ribosomal RNA", at positions 338 to 795 of the family's 1533-position model. The record is from RNAcentral.